GACGAACGCUCGCGGCGUGCUUAACACAUGCAAGUCGAACGGAAAGGCCCUGCUUUUGUGGGGUGCUCGAGUGGCGAACGGGUGAGUAACACGUGAGUAACCUGCCCUUGACUUUGGGAUAACUUCAGGAAACUGGGGCUAAUACCGGAUAGGAGCUCCUGCUGCAUGGUGGGGGUUGGAAAGUUUCGGCGGUUGGGGAUGGACUCGCGGCUUAUCAGCUUGUUGGUGGGGUAGUGGCUUACCAAGGCUUUGACGGGUAGCCGGCCUGAGGGGGUGACCGGCCACAUUGGGACUGAGAUACGGCCCAGACUCCUACGGGAGGCAGCAGUGGGGAAUAUUGCACAAUGGGCGGAAGCCUGAUGCAGCAACGCCGCGUGCGGGAUGACGGCCUUCGGGUUGUAAACCGCUUUCGCCUGUGACGAAGCGUGAGUGACGGUAAUGGGUAAAGAAGCACCGGCUAACUACGUG
RNAcentral lists this ribosomal RNA (468 nucleotides) under uncultured bacterium. Its description in RNAcentral is "partial 16S ribosomal RNA". It matches the Rfam family "Bacterial small subunit ribosomal RNA", at positions 28 to 507 of the family's 1533-position model. The record is from RNAcentral.